UUUCCCCCAUUCCUUUUCUUGCUUUCCCUCUCCUUUUCCCCUCAUUUUGAUUCUUCCAAUUUUCCUUCACAUCUUUUGAUUUCCCUCCCAUCUUUCCCCCAUUUUGCCCUCAAAUUUCAUCCAUCUCUCUUCUCACAAUUCUCUCUUCUGUCAUUCUUCUUGUGGUUUCUUCUUCUGGCAUUCAAUUUUGACCACCAUCUCUCUUCCGGUAAAAUCCAAUCCCAACACUUUUGGAGUCGGGAGCUUAAUGGAGUCAAAAGAAUCAACUUAGAAGAAGAGCAAAUACAAACUAUCGUUCUACCCUUUAAAAGAAACAAAUUUACACACUUCAAUACCACUCGGAGCAUUGCAACACUCUUCCCAUAACUAGGUCCAACACUAGCUCAAUGCUAUAAGAUAGAAUGCUUCAAUUUGUUGCAAAAUAGGGAAGUAUUGCGACACUACACCCAACAUUACAAUGCUCUGGACAUUGAUGAAAAAAAUAAAAUGGUGUGCGUUGGUCGCAACGCAGCAUUGGAGUCAGCAUCAGCUUAGGGUCGCAACAAAUAAAACUUCAAAUUUUCUAGAAUUCUUCAGCAUAGGGAGAUAUCAAUUUUGACGAACUUGAGAGCUUUUCUUUCUAAUUCUUGAGAAAUUCUAUAAAAUUUUAUUCAAUCUUGGUACAUUUCAA
This is a long non-coding RNA of Benincasa hispida (wax gourd), 670 nucleotides long. RefSeq lists it as uncharacterized. Lineage: Eukaryota; Viridiplantae; Streptophyta; Magnoliopsida; Cucurbitales; Cucurbitaceae. The record is from RefSeq and is a predicted model, not a curated record.